Molecule: ribosomal RNA, 465 nt
Filed under: Vreelandella stevensii
Lineage: Bacteria; Pseudomonadati; Pseudomonadota; Gammaproteobacteria; Oceanospirillales; Halomonadaceae
Description: partial 16S ribosomal RNA
Rfam family: Bacterial small subunit ribosomal RNA
Source: RNAcentral
CCUACGGGGGGCUGCAGUGGGGAAUAUUGGACAAUGGGGGGAACCCUGAUCCAGCCAUGCCGCGUGUGUGAAGAAGGCCCUCGGGUUGUAAAGCACUUUCAGUGAGGAAGAACGCCUGGUGGUUAAUACCCAUCAGGAAAGACAUCACUCACAGAAGAAGCACCGGCUAACUCCGUGCCAGCAGCCGCGGUAAUACGGAGGGUGCGAGCGUUAAUCGGAAUUACUGGGCGUAAAGCGCGCGUAGGUGGCUUGAUAAGCCGGUUGUGAAAGCCCCGGGCUCAACCUGGGAACGGCAUCCGGAACUGUCAAGCUAGAGUGCAGGAGAGGAAGGUAGAAUUCCCGGUGUAGCGGUGAAAUGCGUAGAGAUCGGGAGGAAUACCAGUGGCGAAGGCGGCCCUCUGGACUGACACUGACACUGAGGUGCGAAAGCGUGGGUAGCAAACAGGAUUAGAUACCCGAGUAGUC